This 2935-nucleotide ribosomal RNA is filed under the name Pirellulaceae bacterium. Its description in RNAcentral is "23S ribosomal RNA". It matches the Rfam family "Bacterial large subunit ribosomal RNA". Lineage: Bacteria; Pseudomonadati; Planctomycetota; Planctomycetia; Pirellulales; Pirellulaceae. The record is from RNAcentral.
GGUCAAGCUACUAAGGGCGCAUGGGGGAUGUCUUGGCAUUGGAAGGCGAUGAAGGGCGUGGAAGUCUGCGAAAAGCUCGGAGGAGUUGACAAACGAGCGUUGAUCCCGAGGUUCCCGAAUUGUUCCUGCGCUGAAUACAUAGGCGUGUGGAGGCUAACCUGGUGAACUGAAACAUCUCAGUAACCAGUGGAAAAUAAAGAAAAAUCGAUUCCGUAAGUAGCGGCGAGCGAAAGCGGAACAGCCCAAACCGCGGGGGUUUUCCCCUGCGGGGUUGUAGGGUCUUUCACAUGGGAGUUACAAAGCAGUCGAUUAGCGGAAGCAUCUGGAAAGUUGCACCACAGAGGGUGACGGUCCCGUACGCGAAAGUUGAACUGCCUCCCGAAGGAUACCUGAGUAGGUCGGGUCACGUGGAACCCCGACUGAAUCUACGGGGACCAUCCCGUAAGGCUAAAUACUCUCCAAUGACCGAUAGUGAACUCAGUAGCGUGAGUGAAAGAUGGGAAGAACCCCUGCUAGGGGAGGAUAGUGAACCUGAAACCAUGCGCUUACAAGCGGUCGGAGCACUAUGGCAAGCUUGCUUGCAAUGUGUGACGGCGUGCCUUUUGCAUAAUGAUCCGGCGAGUUACCGUUGGCGGCUUGGUUAAGUCUUUUCGGGACGUAGCCAUAGGGAAACCAAGUGUUAAUAGCGCGAAAUUGUCGUCAGUGGUAGACGCGAAACCUGGUGAUCUACCCAUGAGCAGGUUGAAGCGCGGGUUAUACUGCGUGGAGGACCGAACCCACUUGGGUUGAAAACCGAGGGGAUGACUUGUGGGGAGGAGUGAAAGUCUAAUCAAACCAGGAGAUAGCUCGUUCUCUCCGAAAUAGCUUUAGGGCUAGCCUCGUGCCACUAUGCAUUGGGGGUAGAGAUACUGAAUCGGAUGGGGGCCCUUCCCGGGGUACCCCACUGAACCAAACUCCGAAUACCAAUGUAACUAUCACGGGAGUCAGUCCACGUGGGAUAAGCUGCGUGGUCAAGAGGGAAACAACCCAGACCGUCGGCUAAGGCCCCUAAAUUGUGCUUAGUCACUAAGGAAGUGAGAUUGCUGAGACAGCCAGGAUGUUGGCUUAGAAGCAGCCACCAUUUAAAAAGUGCGUAACAGCUUACUGGUCGAGCAGUCUUGCGCCGAUAAUGAUCGGGAGUAAGUACGAUGCCGAAGCCGCGGGUUCAGUGAUCCUUCGGGUGAUCUGAGCGGUAGGAGAGCGCUGUACGUCAGAUACAAGCCGUACCGAAAGGAGCGGUGUCGGGGCGUACAGGUGAUUAUGCCGGAAUGAGUAACGAUAAAGCAGGUGAGAAUCCUGCUCGCCGAAAGCCUAAGGUUUCCUGGGGAAGGUAAUUCCGCCCAGGGUUAGCCGGUACCUUAGUCGAGGCCGAAAGGCGUAGACGAUGGAUAGCAGGUUAAUAUUCCUGCGCCACUUAUGUGGACCGAUGGAGGGACGGCGCGCGAAGGGUGAGCGGUACGAAUAGAAAUGUCCGUGGACCGUUGCAAGAUGGAGGGAUUGGCAAAUCCACCCUCGGAAUUCAAGCGACGGGACCGAGAGCGUUUAAGUUCUUGAAGUCAUCCGCAGUGCGUCCAAGAAAAGCUUCUAAGGGUUGAAGCAUAGGUGACCGUACUAAAACUGACACAGGUAGGUGAGACGAGAAGUCUAAGGCGCUCGGGAGAACGGUGGUUAAGGAACUCUGCAAAAUGGCCCCGUAAGUUCGCGAUAAGGGGUGCCCUUGGCGGUUCACGCUGCUGGGGGCCACAGUAAAUCGGCUCCAACGACUGUUUAUCAAAAACACAGGUCUCUGCUAACACGUAAGUGGAUGUAUAGAGACUGACGCCUGCCCGGUGCCGGUAGGUUAAGGAAGCGGGUUAUCCCUUUCGGGGGAGAAGCUCUCGACCGAAGCCCCGGUAAACGGCGGCCGUAACUAUGACGGUCCUAAGGUAGCGAAGUUCCUUGUCGGGUAAGUUCCGACCUGCAUGAAAGGCGUAACGAUUGGAGCACUGUCUCAACCACCGACCCGGUGAAAUUGUAGUCGUGGUGAAGAUGCCACGUACCCGCGGUUAGACGGAAAGACCCCGUGAACCUUUACUGCAGGCUGAUAUUGGGCUGAGGUAUGUUUUGUGUAGGAUAGGUGGGAGGCUUUGAUGUGAGGGCGCCAGCCCUUGCGGAGCCAACCUUGAAAUACCACCCUGGAUAUGCUUUAGUUCUAACGUUGAUCCCGUGAAUCCGGGCAACGGACAGUGUCAGUUGGGCAGUUUGACUGGGGCGGUCUCCUCCCAAAGAGUAACGGAGGAGUACAAAGGUACCCUCAGCCUGGUUGGCAAUCAGGCGUAGAGCGCAAAGGUAGAAGGGUGCUUAACUGCGAGACUAAUCAGUCGAGCAGAUGCGAAAGCAGGUCUUAGUGAUCCGGUAAUUCCGAAUGGAAGGGUUAUCGCUCAUCAGAUAAAAGGUACUCCGGGGAUAACAGGCUUAUCGCCUCCGAGCGUCCAUAGCGGCGAGGCGGUUUGGCACCUCGAUGUCGGCUCAUCACAUCCUGGGGGUGAAGAAGCUCCCAAGGGUUCGGCUGUUCGCCGAUGAAAGUGGUACGUGAGCUGGGUUCAGACCGUCGUGAGACAGGUCGGUCCCUAUCUGCCGUGGGCGUUCGAAACUUGAGCGGGUUCUUCUUUAGUACGAGAGGAUUUGGAAGGACGAACCUCUGGUGUCCCAGUUGUCGCGCUAGCGGCACGGCUGGAUAGCUAAGUUCGGACAGGAUAAACGCUGAAAGCAUCUAAGCGUGAAGCCCUCCGCAAGAUCAGGUUUCGUAAGUGCUAGACACGAAAGCCCCCUGGAAGACGACCAGGUUGAUAGGCUGGAUGUGUAAGCUCAGUAAUGGGUUAAGCUCACCAGUACUAACGGGCGAAGGCUUGGCCAC